AUGCAGGUGCAGGGUGGAGGUGUUGGACAAAGGAGGAGGAGGAGGGCUGGCAGAAGAGGUGUUUCACUGCCCCCUGAAAUUACAGGGCUCAUGAUGAGAGACAGCUCCUGGCUCAGGUCUCAGUCCCUGGAUAGGAGAAGGCUGUCAGUGAAGGCUUUCCAGUGCCAGAAGAGAAUCACAAGAGAAGAGAAAUGUUGUGUUUGUCCCUCCCCAGUGAUGGCUGCAGGAGAGCAGAGGAUCCAGUAGAGAAGAGGACACUCUGAUUCUGGAGAGGCAGCAGACAUUUGAGAAGGCUGAACUGAAGUGCAAACUGACCAAUAUAUUAAAGCAGCAGAAGCUGCAGGGGAGCCAAAUUCCUACAGAAGUGAAGACAUAAGAG
Molecule: long non-coding RNA, 379 nt
Filed under: Cyanistes caeruleus (blue tit)
Lineage: Eukaryota; Metazoa; Chordata; Aves; Passeriformes; Paridae
Description: lncRNA (ENSCCEG00000016970.1)
Source: RNAcentral